This 693-nucleotide long non-coding RNA is filed under the name Solanum tuberosum (potato). RNAcentral describes it as "long non-coding RNA (STUB_LNC000887)". Lineage: Eukaryota; Viridiplantae; Streptophyta; Magnoliopsida; Solanales; Solanaceae. The record is from RNAcentral.
GACAAGUUAUACGUAAGCAAAGGGUUGAUUUUAGGCAGAUUAUUUAAGAGAUUUCGAGAUGGUCGCUCGCAUCUAGGCAUAUUAUCUAAUAGCAAACACACAUAUAAUAAAAUAAAGCUAAAGGAAAAGAAACAGUUAGCACGUAAUCCCCUCCCCCUUUUAACGAUCCCCAAAUUUAUUAUAUAUGGAGAGUGUUAUUGUAAAAUUAUUACAAAACAAAAUAAAUGCAUACGAAUUCCAAAAAAACACACAUAAAUUAAGUAAUCUCGUCUCAUGGCGGCUCUUCAACUUGAACUUCAAGUUCAAACCUGUUUAACAGAAUAACACCCAACACGAGAUCAUAGCGUAAUAUUAACAAAUAGAUAGAAGACAUAAAAGCUAUUCACAACAAACACACGAAUUUCACCAAGCCAUGUAAAAUCACACAUCGAAAUAAGGGGAUAAGGAAACUAGACUGGAUGCUUUCUCUUAUUUAUUUCGACACUAAUGAAGGAACUAACCAGUUAUGCAGAAUUAUUUAUCAGCAAUGAAGACCCAGUUUGAUUCUAUAUUAGACCCGAACACAGCAAAAUCGAGUAAAGCAGCACUUGGAAUAUUCACCGGAAUCUUUAAACUUUCAGAGUAGAGAGUAUUUUAUGCUCUGGUUAGAAUGGGUAAAAACAUCUCUAAGUGUGAGGGCAGAGGUCUNNNNNN